Molecule: long non-coding RNA, 2285 nt
Organism: Bos taurus (domestic cattle)
Lineage: Eukaryota; Metazoa; Chordata; Mammalia; Artiodactyla; Bovidae
Source: Ensembl
GCAUUCUCCACACUCAGGCAAAUCCAGGUUCAGAUCCCAACUCUGUCUCUUAGCUGUGAUGCUAAAAUGUCGCUAUUCUGUUAUCAGCUAGGACGAGAAUCCCUCUCCUGGAGGGAAAAAAUCAUGUUUAGAAAAUGUGUCUGCAACCCCAGUGAAGGCAAGAAAUGCCCCCAGGACAUGGACGUCUGUAUGGAUGUGUGUGUGUGUGCAUGUGCGCGCGUGUGUGUGAGCUGCUCAGUCAUGUCCAACUCUUCUCGACCCCACGGAGCCCACUAGGCUCCUCUGUCCAUGGAAAUCUCCAGGCAAGAAUAGACUGGGGUAAGAUUUCAAGGGGAGGGAUGAAGUCACUUUGAGUAAGCCAAGAAAAGAGACCACUUGGUCUUUGAAAGCCAGAGAUGGGACACAGGGCCCGCAUCCCUGGACCGGAGACCAAAACCUGUGAAGUAAGUCAUCAGGGAUUCACAGAAGUCUUGUGGAAGCUUUGAUCGUCUCUAGACUGGAGAACUGCAGAAGUGGAAAGACUCCCAGGCAGCUCUCAAGAUCAGGGAGGUGACUCAAUGUCUACUUUAAGUGGGUGGUGAGGAAAGGCAUUACCGAGGAGGUGACAUGCCCCUUGAGAGCUAAAUGACCGGCGGGAAUCAGCCACGCCAGGAACCGGGGGAAGGAAACUUUGCAGGCAGGACUUCCGCAGUAGUCCAGCGGUUAACAACCCGCCCGCCAGUGCAGGGGACAUGGGUUCGAUCCCUGGUCCAGGAAGAUCCCACAUGCCUCAGGGCAACUAAGCCGUGCUCAAAAGCAAUGAAGAGUAGCCCUGGAGCCCUAUAACAAGAGAAAGCCCAUGUGCAGCAACAAAGACCUAAAGAAAACACAAAUAGAUAAAACUUUCCAGGCAGAGGGCACAACCAGGGCAAAGCCCUAGGCUGGGGACAGUCCGGCUGGAGCACAGAGGUGAGGAGACCAGCACGAGCCGUGAGAAAGUCAAAGGCAGGGAGGGAGUGCUUUGCAAGCCCGGGCAAGGAGCAUGCAGUUCAUUUUAAGGGAGGUGGAAAGCCAUCCAGGACAUUUUUAAGCAGCUGAGGGAGAGCAUCUAAUUGACCUUUGAAAAAUCACCUGCACAGACAGGGAUUCCUGGGGGCCAAGGGAGACCCCCGCAGCAGUCCUGGCUCCAGGGGAUGGUGACUUGGACCAGGAAGGAAGUGGUGGUGGCUGAGGAGAUUAGGGACAUCUCGGGGGACAGAAUUGAAAAGACAUACUGAGAAAGAUGGGCUUGAGCUGUUGGUGCAAUUUAUAGAAACGGGGAUGUCUGGGAAAGAGUAAAUUGAGGUGGGGGAUCAAGAGUUCUGUUUGGCCUGUGUUUAUUUUGAGGUGCUAAUUAGGUGUCCAUGAGGCCAUGUGGAGAAGGAAGUUGGCUAUGGGAGUUUGGAAGGCCAAGGAAUGGUCAAGCUGGAGUAUAUAAAACCCUAGGGCCAGACGGAGUCAGCCGGGGAGAGUGUGGAACAGGUAAUGAGUAAUGGGCUCGGGGGCGUUCAAACAUUUAGAGACCAGAGUGGGAGUGACACGUAGAUGGGCUGGCACAGUGGCCAGGGAGAUGGCAGGAAAACCCAGAGGGCGUGGUAACUGAUAAGCCAAGAAAAUCAUUUAAUCAAGAGAAAGUUAUCAAAUGUGCUCAGUGCUGCCAAGAGAUAAAGGAAGAGCAGAGACCGGCUUCCCUGAUGGUCCCGGAGCUAAGACUCCACACUCCCAACGCAGGCAGCCUGCGUUCGAUCCCAGGUCAGGGAACUGGAUCUCUCAGACUACAACUAAGACCCGGCAUAGCCCAAUAAAUAUUUUUUUUAAAAGAAGAAUAGAGAAAAGCUCUUUGGAGUUGAACUUUGAAGCCCAAGUUAGAAAGAGAAAAACAAAUAUCAUAUAUUGUCAAAUCUAGAAAAACAGUACUGAUGAACCUGUUUGCAGGGCAUGAAUCAAAUGCAAACAUAGAAAAGACUUGUGGACAUAGCCAGGGCAGGGGAGGGGAACAAAUUGAGAGAGUAGCAUUGAAGCAUAUACAUUGCUGUAGGUAAAGCAGAGAGCUAACGGAAAGUUUCUGUAUAAAACAGGGAGCUCAACACAGAGCUCUGUGACAACCUAGAGGGCUGGGACAGGGUGGAGGUGUGCAGAGGUUCUAGAGAGAAGGGACAUAUGUAUACUUGUGGCUGGUUCACAUUGUUGUAUGGCAGAAACCAACACAACAUUCUAAGGCAAUUAUCCUCCAAUUAAAAAUGUUUUAAAUAAUUUCUAAAUGCUUC